AUUGAACGCUGGCGGCAGGCUUAACACAUGCAAGUCGAGCGGGGUGAUGGUGCUUGCACUAUCACUUAGCGGCGGACGGGUGAGUAAUGCUUAGGAAUCUGCCUAUUAGUGGGGGACAACAUCACGAAAGGGAUGCUAAUACCGCAUCCGUCCUACGGGAGAAAGCAGGGGAUCACUUGUGAACUUUCGCUAAUAGAUGAGCCUCAGCCGGAUUAGCUAGUUGGUGGGGUAAAGGCCUACCAAGGCGACGAUCUGUAGCGGGUCUCGAGAGGAUGAUCCGCCACACUGGGACUGAGACACGGCCCAGACUCCUACGGGAGGCAGCAGUGGGGAAUAUUGGACAAUGGGGGGAACCCUGAUCCAGCCAUGCCGCGUGUGUGAAGAAGGCCUUAUGGUUGUAAAGCACCUUAAGCGAGGAGGAGGCUCUUUUGGUUAAUACCCAAGAUGAGUGGACGUUACUCGCAGAAUAAGCACCGGCUAACUCUGUGCCAGCCGCCGCCGUAA
RNAcentral lists this ribosomal RNA (504 nucleotides) under uncultured bacterium. Its description in RNAcentral is "partial 16S ribosomal RNA". It matches the Rfam family "Bacterial small subunit ribosomal RNA", at positions 30 to 523 of the family's 1533-position model. The record is from RNAcentral.